RNAcentral lists this ribosomal RNA (823 nucleotides) under Bacillus sp. JSM 077009. Its description in RNAcentral is "bacterial SSU rRNA". It matches the Rfam family "Bacterial small subunit ribosomal RNA", at positions 56 to 860 of the family's 1533-position model. The record is from RNAcentral. Lineage: Bacteria; Bacillati; Bacillota; Bacilli; Caryophanales; Bacillaceae.
UGCAAGUCGAGCGGAGAUUGGGAGCUUGCUCCCAAAUCUUAGCGGCGGACGGGUGAGUAACACGUGGGCAACCUGCCCUGCAGACUGGGAUAACUCCGGGAAACCGGAGCUAAUACCGGGUAAUACAUCGCACCGCAUGGUGCAAUGUUGAAAGUUGGCUUUCUGAGCUAACACUGCAGGAUGGGCCCGCGGCGCAUUAGCUAGUUGGUAAGGUAAUGGCUUACCAAGGCGACAAUGCGUAGCCGACCUGAGAGGGUGAUCGGCCACACUGGGACUGAGACACGGCCCAAACUCCUACGGGAGGCAGCAGUAGGGAAUCUUCCGCAAUGGACGAAAGUCUGACGGAGCAACGCCGCGUGAGUGACGAAGGCCUUCGGGUCGUAAAGCUCUGUUGUUAGGGAAGAACAAGUACCGUUCGAAUAGGGCGGUACCUUGACGGUACCUAACCAGAAAGCCACGGCUAACUACGUGCCAGCAGCCGCGGUAAUACGUAGGUGGCAAGCGUUGUCCGGAAUUAUUGGGCGUAAAGCGCGCGCAGGCGGUCUUUUAAGUCUGAUGUGAAAGCCCACGGCUCAACCGUGGAGGGUCAUUGGAAACUGGAGGACUUGAGUGCAGAAAAGGAGAGUGGAAUUCCACGUGUAGCGGUGAAAUGCGUAGAUAUGUGGAGGAACACCAGUGGCGAAGGCGGCUCUCUGGUCUGUAACUGACGCUGAGGCGCGAAAGCGUGGGGAGCAAACAGGAUUAGAUACCCUGGUAGUCCACGCCGUAAACGAUGAGUGCUAGGUGUUGGGGGGUUCCACCCUCAGUGCUGAAGUUAACACAU